This 705-nucleotide ribosomal RNA is filed under the name bacterium C1. RNAcentral's name for it is "partial 16S ribosomal RNA gene". It matches the Rfam family "Bacterial small subunit ribosomal RNA", at positions 1 to 721 of the family's 1533-position model. The record is from RNAcentral.
UAAAAAGUUUUNUCUNGUANGCUGGCGGCGUGCCUAAUACAUGCAAGUCGAGCGAACAGNUAAGGAGCUUGCUCCUUUGAAGUUAGCGGCGGACGGGUGAGUAACACGUGGGUAACCUACCUAUAAGACUGGGAUAACUUCGGGAAACCGGAGCUAAUACCGGAUAACAUUUAGAACCGCAUGGUUCUAAAGUGAAAGAUGGUUUUGCUAUCACUUAUAGAUGGACCCGCGCCGUAUUAGCUAGUUGGUAAGGUAACGGCUUACCAAGGCGACGAUACGUAGCCGACCUGAGAGGGUGAUCGGCCACACUGGAACUGAGACACGGUCCAGACUCCUACGGGAGGCAGCAGUAGGGAAUCUUCCGCAAUGGGCGAAAGCCUGACGGAGCAACGCCGCGUGAGUGAUGAAGGGUUUCGGCUCGUAAAACUCUGUUAUUAGGGAAGAACAAAUGUGUAAGUAACUGUGCACAUCUUGACNGUACCUAAUCAGAAAGCCACGGCUAACUACNUGCCAGCAGCCGCGGUAAUACGUAGGUGGCAAGCGUUNUCCGGAAAUAUNGGGCGUAAGCGCGCGUAGGCGGGUUCUUAUUUUUNUNUGNAAACCCCCGCUCACCCUGGAGGGCAUUGGAACUGGGAACUNANUGCNAAAAGAAAGNGANUUCCUNUUUCCCGUGAAUGCCCCAGNUUGGGGACCCNCUGCCNAGGG